Long non-coding RNA from Eurytemora carolleeae, 764 nucleotides. RefSeq lists it as uncharacterized. The record is from RefSeq and is a predicted model, not a curated record. NCBI's taxonomy places the organism in Eukaryota, Metazoa, Arthropoda, Copepoda, Calanoida, Temoridae. The transcript is spliced from 3 exons.
UAAAGAAAGAAAUAAGUUUACAGUGCAGAAAAUCAUGAAUAUAAGAAAAGGGACAGUAUAAGUUCAGUUCAGCCGUGUCUGAUGUUUCAUCAUUUGUGGGUAACCCUGUAUAAAAUAAAGAUGAAAUUGUUAAGGCUAUAACCAGGGAUAGUUAUGGUUAAAUUAAAAUUAACCUGUAAUGAAUAAUGAAAAAGAUUUCUCGGAGAGGAAUUAAUUUUGUUUAUAAAGUCAGUUAAACCGUGAUUUAAAACGAUCAAUUUUCAGAGGGAAAAACAAGAACCAUUGGAUAACUGUGAAUCGUGUAUGAAAUUUUUAAAUAAAUUUUUAAUAUUUUUAGAUAAUGUCGACAGCCCAUUCUAUAGUUUCUACCUCAUAGUCCUGCAGUUCCCACAGCUAGUGUUUGGUCCAAUCCUCUGAUAUUUUCUCUUAAACAGGAUUGAGGUAGAAUGCGUUCUCAUCAGCAUCUUGGGUUAGGUAUUCUUUGGCCAGGUACAUGACGACCUGAAACUAAAUGAACCUAGCAAUCUAAAGGAGAUGAGCUUGCUUGUAUACUUCCUAAACUAUGCAAAUGAGAUAUCAAAAAAACUCAAGAAAAUGCAAGAAAAAAUGUUGAAAUAAUUUGAACAGUGUAUACUCAUCGUCUCUGAAGUUUCAUUUUUUGGGGGGUAACCCUGGACAAUGAUUUUUGGUUAAUAUAUUGAAUACUUUUUGAAAAUAUGUGUAGAUAUUUAUGUGUGCUUUAUUUUAAUUUUUAACUUCAUAAG